RNAcentral lists this ribosomal RNA (497 nucleotides) under uncultured bacterium. Its description in RNAcentral is "partial 16S ribosomal RNA". It matches the Rfam family "Bacterial small subunit ribosomal RNA", at positions 28 to 507 of the family's 1533-position model. The record is from RNAcentral.
GACGAACGCUGGCGGCGUGCCUAAUACAUGCAAGUAGAACGCUGAAGAGAGGAGCUUGCUCUUCUUGGAUGAGUUGCGAACGGGUGAGUAACGCGUAGGUAACCUGCCUUGUAGCGGGGGAUAACUAUUGGAAACGAUAGCUAAUACCGCAUAACAAUGGAUGACACAUGUCAUUUAUUUGAAAGGGGCAAUUGCUCCACUACAAGAUGGACCCGCGUUGUAUUAGCUAGUAGGUGAGGUAACGGCUCACCUAGGCGACGAUACAUAGCCGACCUGAGAGGGUGAUCGGCCACACUGGGACUGAGACACGGCCCAGACUCCUACGGGAGGCAGCAGUAGGGAAUCUUCGGCAAUGGGGGCAACCCUGACCGAGCAACGCCGCGUGAGUGAAGAAGGUUUUCGGAUCGUAAAGCUCUGUUGUAAGUCAAGAACGAGUGUGAGAGUGGAAAGUUCACACUGUGACGGUAGCUUACCAGAAAGGGACGGCUAACUACGUG